Molecule: ribosomal RNA, 440 nt
Filed under: uncultured bacterium
Lineage: Bacteria
Description: partial 16S ribosomal RNA
Rfam family: Bacterial small subunit ribosomal RNA
Source: RNAcentral
CCUACGGGAGGCUGCAGUGGGGAAUAUUGCACAAUGGGGGAAACCCUGAUGCAGCGACGCCGCGUGAAGGAAGACGUAUCUCGGGAUGUAAACUUCUAUCAGUAGGGAAGAAAAUGACGGUACCUGAGUAAGAAGCCACGCCUAACUACGUGCCAGCACCCGCGGUAAUACGUAGGGGGCCAGCGUUAUCCGGAUUUACUGGGUGUAAGGGGAGCGUAGGCGGUUUAGCAAGUCAGUAGUGAAAGCGCGGGGCUCAACUCCGAGACUGCUUUUGAAACUGUUGAACUAGAUUGCAGGAGAGGUAAGUGGAAUUCCUAGUGUAGCGGUGAAAUGCGUAGAUAUUAGGAGGAACACCAGUGGCGAAGGCAGCUUACUAAACUGUAAAUGACACUGAGGCUCGAAAGCGUGGGGAGCAAACAGGAUUAGAUACCCGAGUAGUC